AGAACGAACGCUGGCGGCAUGCCUAAUACAUGCAAGUCGAACGAACUCUUCGGAGUUAGUGGCGCACGGGUGCGUAACGCGUGGGAAUCUGCCCCUUGGUUCGGAAUAACAGUUGGAAACGACUGCUAAUACCGGAUGAUGACGAAAGUCCAAAGAUUUAUCGCCAAGGGAUGAGCCCGCGUAGGAUUAGCUAGUUGGUGAGGUAAAGCUCACCAAGGCAACGAUCCUUAGCUGGUCUGAGAGGAUGAUCAGCCACACUGGGACUGAGACACGGCCCAGACCUCCGUACGGGAGGCAGCAGGUAGGGAAUAGUUAGGACAAGUGGGACGAAAGCCUGAAUCCAGCAAGUCGCCGCGUGAGUGAUGAACGGUCCGUUAGGUU
This 381-nucleotide ribosomal RNA is filed under the name uncultured soil bacterium. Its description in RNAcentral is "bacterial SSU rRNA". It matches the Rfam family "Bacterial small subunit ribosomal RNA", at positions 26 to 423 of the family's 1533-position model. The record is from RNAcentral.